AUGUUGAUGCAAGACUACUUCGCGGACAAUCCUACCUAUACGCCGCACCUCUUCCAGAGAAGGUAUAAAAUGCACUGAUCCCUCUUCAUAAAAAUUGUGCAAGUUUGCGAGGCCAAUUCUUGGUUUUUUACUCAAAGGAGAAACGCCACGAGCUUGUUGGGUUUUAGCGCAUAUCAAAAAAUCUCCGCAGCUAUGCGGGUGAUUUCAUAUGGCAUUCCGGAUGACUAUGUCGAUACUACAAUUGAGUCAGUGCGUAGGUUCGCCAAAGUGAUCAUCUAUGUCUUUGGUCAUGUCUAUGUUCGUGCACCCAACGAGGAAGACACGAAAAAGUUGAUGGCAGGAAAUGAGAAGCGAGGUUGGCCCGGCAUGCUAGGAAGCGUUGAUUGCAUGCAUUGGACUUGGAAAAACUGUCCAAAGGCAUGGCACGGGCAGUUUUGUGGCAAGCCUUGUGAUGCAACAAUUGUGCUAGAGGUCGUAGCAUCCGACGAUUUAUGGAUUUGGCAUUAUUUUUUGUAUGCCGGGUACUCUCAAUGA
This 534-nucleotide ribosomal RNA is filed under the name Triticum aestivum (bread wheat). RNAcentral describes it as "partial small subunit ribosomal RNA". Lineage: Eukaryota; Viridiplantae; Streptophyta; Magnoliopsida; Poales; Poaceae. The record is from RNAcentral.